UACGGAAGGCAGCAGUGGGGAAUAUUGCACAAUGGGCGAAAGCCUGAUGCAGCUAUGCCGCGUGUAUGAAGAAGGCCUUAGGGUUGUAAAGUACUUUCAUCGGGGAGGAAAAAACAAAACUAAUAAUUUUAUUUCUUGACGUUACCCGAAAAAGAAGCACCGGCUAACUCCGUGCCAGCAGCCGCGGUAAUACGGAGGGUGCUAGCGUUAAUCAGAAUUACUGGGCGUAAAGAGCACGUAGGUGGUUUUUUUAAAGUCAGAUGUGAAUCCCUGGGCUUAACCUAGGAACUGCAUUUUGAAACUGAAAUACUAGAGUAUUGUAGAGGGAGGUAGAAUUCUAGGUGUAGCGGUGAAAUGCGUAGAUAUCUGGAGGAAUACCUGUGGCGAAAGCGGCCUCCUAAACGAAUACUGACACUGAGGUGCGAAAGCGUGGGGAGCAAACAGGGAUUAGAUACC
RNAcentral lists this ribosomal RNA (456 nucleotides) under uncultured bacterium. RNAcentral's name for it is "bacterial SSU rRNA". It matches the Rfam family "Bacterial small subunit ribosomal RNA", at positions 340 to 786 of the family's 1533-position model. The record is from RNAcentral.